Non-coding RNA from Oncorhynchus mykiss (rainbow trout), 1312 nucleotides. The record is from RefSeq and is a predicted model, not a curated record. NCBI's taxonomy places the organism in Eukaryota, Metazoa, Chordata, Actinopteri, Salmoniformes, Salmonidae.
CAAAAUUUGCCCCCUGGAAACAACGCAUAACAAUAAAGAUUAUCUAUAAUAUUUUCAAGAUAAUCGAGUGACCGAUCUAACAAUGGAAAUACAUGUCCUCGAAGAUGGAAGGCAUGCGGGAGGUGGCGAGAUCAGUUCAGCCAAUUAUGGACUUCCAUGACCAGCCCCUUCCUUUGGCUGUCACGACUUCCGACGAAGUCGGCUCCUCUCCUUGUUCGGGCGGCGUUCGGCGAUCGACGUCACAGGCUUUCUAGCCAUCACCGCUCCAUUUCUCAUAUAUCCAUUUGUUUUGUCUUGUUUCAUACACACCUGGUUUUCAUUCCAUAAUCACACUGCGUGCAUUUAGUCCUCUGUUCCCCUCCAUGUCUUUGUGUGUAAUUGUUUAUUGUUACGUGGAUAUUUGUCAGGCGCUGCACUUUUGUUAUGUACCGUGUUUUUGGCACUAGUAUGUUUUAUGUGCUGUCAUUGUUGACCGGUAUUAAAGUGCGCCUGUUUACUGUAAUCCGCUCUCCUGCACUUGACUUCGCCUCCCAUAUACACGACUAACAUUGGCAGUGUGUUGAUACUAAUUUACUUACAGAAAAAAAGCAGGUGGAUAUAAUAUAAUCAUUACUUUAUUUUUUAUUGCAUCAUAACAUACAUAUUAUAUAUUAUAAAUGUGGAUUUGUACACUACAAUCUUCAUUGUAACAUGUUAUAAAAUAUUCAGGCUCAAAAAACGAAGCACUAAAAACUUUACCAAACAGUUAAUACAUUUCAUUGUUUGCCCAUUGAGAAAAGAAAAUGUAAAAAGAAAAUCUUCAACAUAAGAACAAAAAGAAGAGCCAAGCAUAGACUGGUCACUGUUAAAACCACUAAGGGACAGAUACAGUUACAAAGGCAGGGGGUAGUAGGGGGCACUCAGUUACGCUUAAUGCUUUGUUCGUAACCAAGUGAGAAGUGGGAAUUUACCACAUACAACUGGGGAAAAAUCCACUUGAACGGGCCUCCAACUGGUAAUUACUUGUGGGAAACUCAUUCACCAUCCUGAGCUCCCCUUUCUCCUACAUGCUGACAUCAUCUACUAAGGACAUAACCUCAAAACUGCAUUUCCGGCAGUUAAAUGCAACAAACAUUAUUUAUAAAAAAUCUAUUAAUAUAGUUUUUGAACACUAUAAUUUGUUUACAAGUGUGACAGCUGUACUUUUAGUUUAUGGUUUUCGCAGCUUGUUGGUCAUUAGUCAAUCAGCGUUUCUCGACGAGUUCAAAGCAGGUAAUUGCAACCAACUAGUAUUUACGACUUCACAACUUGUAAAUUCCCACCUCCCACUUGG